GGGGCAGAUAUGAGCAUCGAACCGCCGCGUAGGGGCCUAAAAAUCGAUAUUUCGGUCUUUGCUCCAUCCUCUGCGGUGUGGCCGUGCGGCCGUGUUCGUUCGGCUAGGUUUUUCCUAGAAUACCAUCUAUUAGUGGUCUGUUUUUUUUGAGGAUUUUAAAUACACAGAGCAAAGCUCGUGGCAUCUUUCUGGGGGAUCUAACGAAGGCUCAACAGCUUGCCAGGGUGCCGUUCGAAGCGUAGCUCUUCGAUUUUUAAGAUUCGCAACUGCACUACUGCAUUGCGUCGACGACCUAUUUUACAACGGGGACGAUAAGUCGCACGCCCUCCUGCCAUUAAAUAAUCAAUUUCUCUGUCCGUUACGUUAGGAAUCUCUGUUCACUCUCGCUAUCUGUCAUUCCAUACAAUAUACAUGCCAAAAGUACAAAGGAAAAAAUUCAGGAGAAAAGUCUAAAAUCGUUUUCUCUGCGUAAUUAGAUUAAAAUUAAAAUUUACCCAAAUAAUUUGUAUGUGCAAAAAUAAUUUUUGACAAAAAGAUUUGUAAACCAUUUCAACUUCAUUAGUCUACCGUUACGAAUCCAUGGGCGUAUAAAUGACUCUAAUAUGUAUAUAGGCAUGAAGGCUGAGAAAUAAAAAGUUCCGAAAGUGACGAUGCAGAUUCCAUUAAUAUUUGGGAAAGUGAAGGAAACUAAGAUUAAGCCUAAUGGUUCUACGAUGAA
Long non-coding RNA from Cephus cinctus (wheat stem sawfly), 718 nucleotides. RefSeq lists it as uncharacterized. NCBI's taxonomy places the organism in Eukaryota, Metazoa, Arthropoda, Insecta, Hymenoptera, Cephidae. The record is from RefSeq and is a predicted model, not a curated record. The transcript has 3 exons.